GUCCAGCACUUUCAGGUGGUCUUGCUAGUGGUGGACAACGACGAUGACAUACACCAUAUACGAGCGCUGGUCUGCGUCUACUCGUCGGAGACCGGUGUUUGGGGUGAUGUCAUCUCCGCACCGCUUCUGCCCAAGUUCGACUUGAACAGCCUUUACACCAGGGUUUAUCGUCCCAAGGCGGCUGUGCUAGUUGAAGAUUCCCUUUACUGGAUCCUUGUUGGGAAUUUGGUUGGCAUUAUCAAGCCUGAUUCGGUGAAGCAGAGCAUAAUCGUGAUAUCGGCGCCGGUGGAUAUGUUUAAGGAAGGAAAACAUGAUUUCACAGUUUUGCGGACAGAGGGUGGUGGGCCUUGGUUUCCUCUUCCUGUGAAAGUGAGACUUCAGUGCCCAAUUAUGGAAGAGAAGACAAACAGUGAUGGUAUUGCUUCAUGGGUACUGGAAAGAACUAUCGAACUGAACAAACUAAUUCCC
This 468-nucleotide ribosomal RNA is filed under the name Triticum aestivum (bread wheat). RNAcentral's name for it is "partial small subunit ribosomal RNA". Lineage: Eukaryota; Viridiplantae; Streptophyta; Magnoliopsida; Poales; Poaceae. The record is from RNAcentral.